RNAcentral lists this transfer RNA (66 nucleotides) under Sagmariasus verreauxi (green rock lobster). Its description in RNAcentral is "tRNA-Ile". Lineage: Eukaryota; Metazoa; Arthropoda; Malacostraca; Decapoda; Palinuridae. The record is from RNAcentral.
GAUAUGAUGCCUGAUAAAAGGUUUGUUUUGAUAGGACAACUCAUGUAGAUUCCCCUACUCAUAUUA